AAAAAAGUAUCUUUUCUAGUUAUACCUCUCUAGUUCCUUCAACUGGUCCUCUACAGCAGUUCUGGACUCCGUUGUUCUACAGUUUGUUAACAUGCCUUCAAAAUCUGAAUUGAACACAGUGCUUAAGAUAAGGUCUAAUGAAUACAGAAUAUGUUGAUGACAUAGAAGACUUAAUUUCCUCCUCAUGAUUAAUCUCUCAGUUGGAGAGUAUACACACUCUUACACAGAAUCCAGGACGAAAGCCCUCAUCAGAUGCUUACAUCAUGAUCUUGGACUUCCCAGCCUCCAGACUG
RNAcentral lists this long non-coding RNA (293 nucleotides) under Homo sapiens (human). RNAcentral describes it as "HSALNT0019256". Lineage: Eukaryota; Metazoa; Chordata; Mammalia; Primates; Hominidae. The record is from RNAcentral.